RNAcentral lists this ribosomal RNA (593 nucleotides) under Helicotylenchus sp. A SAS-2019. RNAcentral's name for it is "partial large subunit ribosomal RNA". It matches the Rfam family "Eukaryotic large subunit ribosomal RNA", at positions 367 to 793 of the family's 3401-position model. Lineage: Eukaryota; Metazoa; Nematoda; Chromadorea; Rhabditida; Hoplolaimidae. The record is from RNAcentral.
CAAAGCACUUUGAAGAGAGAGUUAAAGAGGACGUGAAACCGAUGAGGUGGAAACGGACAGAGCUGGCGUAUCUGGCCUGCAUUCAGCCGCUGCGCGUCGGGCCCCGGUUUGCCGCACUCCAGAUUGGGAAGGUGGCUGGGCUGCUGGCGUGCUUGUGGUGCAUUUGCAGGUGGAGUGCGCUGAGGCGCUCGGCUCAGCGGCAUGAGCUCGGCCUUGAGGCCAACCGUGCAAGCGGUCUGGUACCCGGGUCGGGGGAGUGUUGUUUGGGCUGAGUGUUCGCUUGGGCACUGGUUUCGGGCCCGGGUGGGUGCCGAGCUGGCGGUCGACGUCGGUCGCAUGCGACACGUGUCAGCAAUCAGUUCGGUCCUGCUCGAGCUCUCGCGUGUCCGGCCUCGGUGUAAAAGCCGGUCAUCUGUCCGACCCGUCUUGAAACACGGACCAAGGAGUUUAGCGUGUGCGCGAGUCAUUGGGCGUUGAAAACCCAAAGGCGCAAUGAAAGUGAAGGUCUGCCUUGUGCAGCUGAUGUGUGAUCCUGGGUGCUGCGGUGCCCGGGCGCAACAUAGUCCCGUCCCGACUGCAUGCAGUGGGGCGGA